AUGAAUCUCUUGGCUUGGAACUGUCGAGGACUGGGGUUGGACUCGACAGUGAGCGAACUGAGGGAUCUAAUACGAUCCUACAACCCAGCGGUGAUUUUUUUAUGUGAAACGAAAAAGACAGCAAGAGCGAUGGAAAGGUUGAAAUGGAGCUUGGGAUUCAGAUGUGGAAUGGCGGUGGAUUGUAAGGGAAGGAGUGGGGGCCUAGCGUUAUGGUGGAGAGACAACGUGCAGGUUUCUUUGAGGCCUUGGAGCCAAUACUUCAUUGAUGCUGCGAUAACUUGGGAGGGCAAAUCCUGUAGAUUCACUGGAUUCUACGGGAGCCAAAAACGGAGCUUCGGAAGAAGUCAUGGGAUGCUAUUAGAUAUUUGA
This 369-nucleotide ribosomal RNA is filed under the name Triticum aestivum (bread wheat). RNAcentral describes it as "partial small subunit ribosomal RNA". Lineage: Eukaryota; Viridiplantae; Streptophyta; Magnoliopsida; Poales; Poaceae. The record is from RNAcentral.